Molecule: ribosomal RNA, 333 nt
Filed under: uncultured eukaryote
Lineage: Eukaryota
Description: partial 18S ribosomal RNA
Rfam family: Eukaryotic small subunit ribosomal RNA
Source: RNAcentral
CCCUUAGAUGUUCUGGGCUGCACGCGCGCUACACUGAUACUUUCAGCGAGUCCACCACCUUGCCUGAGAGGGUGGGGUAACCUCUGGAAAGUGUAUCGUGAUGGGGAUCGAUUAUUGUAAUUAUUAAUCUUCAACGAGGAAUUCCUAGUAAGCAUGUGUCAUCAGCCCGUGCUGAUUACGUCCCUGCCCUUUGUACACACCGCCCGUCGCUACUGCCAACUGAGAUGGGUCCUGAAUUGUUAGGAACGCCCGUCAAGGGGCCUACCCGGUCCCUAGUGCGGUGACGAGAAUAACUGUAAAUGGCAUAUCUUGUAGGGAGUAAAAGUCGUAACA